RNAcentral lists this ribosomal RNA (427 nucleotides) under uncultured bacterium. RNAcentral describes it as "bacterial SSU rRNA". It matches the Rfam family "Bacterial small subunit ribosomal RNA", at positions 355 to 775 of the family's 1533-position model. The record is from RNAcentral.
UGGGGAAUCUUGCACAAUGGGCGAAAGCCUGAUGCAGCGACGCCGCGUGAGGGAAGAAGGCUUUCGGGUUGUAAACCUCUUUCAGGAGGGACGAAGCUCCUCGGGUUAAUAGCCCAGAGGGUGACGGUACCUCCAGAAGAAGCCCCGGCUAACUACGUGCCAGCAGCCGCGGUAAUACGUAGGGGGCAAGCGUUGUCCGGAUUUAUUGGGCGUAAAGAGCGUGUAGGCGGCUGGGUAGGUCCGUUGUGAAAACUCGAGGCUCAACCUCGAGACGCCGAUGGAAACCAUCCAGCUAGAGUCCGGAAGAGGAGAGUGGAAUUCCUGGUGUAGCGGUGAAAUGCGCAGAUAUCAGGAAGAACACCCGUGGCUAAGGCGGCUCUCUAGUACGGUACUGACGCUGAGACGCGAAAGCGUGGGGAGCGAACAG